Molecule: ribosomal RNA, 119 nt
Organism: Gaeumannomyces graminis
Lineage: Eukaryota; Fungi; Ascomycota; Sordariomycetes; Magnaporthales; Magnaporthaceae
Source: Rfam
ACAUACGACCAUACCCACUGGAAUACACGGGAUCCCGUCCGCUCUCCCUAGUCAAACCAGUGAGGGCCAAACUAGUACCGACGUGGGUGACCACUGGGGAAUCCUCAGUGUUGUAUGUU